This 255-nucleotide ribosomal RNA is filed under the name uncultured bacterium. RNAcentral's name for it is "partial 16S ribosomal RNA". It matches the Rfam family "Bacterial small subunit ribosomal RNA", at positions 524 to 776 of the family's 1533-position model. The record is from RNAcentral.
UACGUAGGGUGCGAGCGUUAAUCGGAAUUACUGGGCGUAAAGCGUGCGUAGGCGGUUCGUUAUGUCUGCUGUGAAAGCCCCGGGCUUAACCUGGGAAUGGCAGUGGAAACUGGCGGGCUUGAGUGUGGCAGAGGGGGGGUGGAAUUCCGCGUGUAGCAGUGAAAUGCGUAGAGAUGCGGAGGAACACCGAUGGCGAAGGCAGCCCCCUGGGCUGACACUGACGCUGAGGCACGAAAGCGUGGGGGAGCAAACAGG